UCAGCCAAUACGAGCCACGGCAUACAGCUCAGUAACACGUGGCUAAUCUGCCCUUAGGACGAGAACAACCCCGGGAAACUGGGGCUAACUCUCGAUAGGCGAAGAACUCUGGAAUGAGUCUUCACCUAAAUAGUUCAGCGUUACGCUCGUUGGACCGCCUAAGGAUGAGGCCGCGACCGAUCAGGUUGUUGGUGAGGUAAUGGCUCACCAAGCCUUUUACCGGUGCGGGCCGUGAGAGCGGGAGCCCGGAGAUGGGCACUGAGACAAGGGCCCAGGCCCUACGGGGCGCAGCAGUCGCGAAAACUUUGCAACACACGAAAGUGUGACAGGGCUAUCCCGAGUGCCAUCCGCUGAGGAAGGCUUUUACCCAGUCUAGAAAGCUGGGGGAAUAAGGAGAGGGCAAGUCUGGUGUCAGCCGCCGCGGUAAUACCAGCUCUCCGAGUGGUGUGGAUGUUUAUUGGGCCUAAAGCAUCCGUAGCUGGCUAAGUUAGUCCCUUGUUAAAUCCACCGAAUUAAUCGUUGGAUUGCGGGGGAUACUGCUUGGCUAGGGGACGAGAGAGGCAGACGGUAUUUCCGGGGUAGGGGUGAAAUCCUAUAAUCCCGGGAAGACCACCAGUGGCGAAGGCUGUCUGCUAGAACGCGCCCGACGGUGAGGGAUGAAAGCUGGGGGAGCGAACCGGAUUAGAUACCCGGGUAGUCCCAGCUGUAAACGAUGCAGGCUAGGUGUUUGGACGGCCACGUGCCGUUCUAGUGCUGCAGGGAAGCUGUUAAGCCUGCCGCCUGGGGAGUACGAUCGCAAGAUUGAAACUUAA
RNAcentral lists this ribosomal RNA (812 nucleotides) under uncultured crenarchaeote. RNAcentral's name for it is "bacterial SSU rRNA". It matches the Rfam family "Archaeal small subunit ribosomal RNA", at positions 54 to 859 of the family's 1478-position model. The record is from RNAcentral. Lineage: Archaea; Thermoproteati; Thermoproteota.